This 1894-nucleotide ribosomal RNA is filed under the name Clostridium sp. RNAcentral's name for it is "partial 23S ribosomal RNA". It matches the Rfam family "Bacterial large subunit ribosomal RNA", at positions 132 to 2025 of the family's 2925-position model. Lineage: Bacteria; Bacillati; Bacillota; Clostridia; Eubacteriales; Clostridiaceae. The record is from RNAcentral.
CAUGAGUUAUGUCAUGUUAUCGACAUGUGAAUUCAUAGCAUGUCAGAAGGCAGACCCGGAGAACUGAAACAUCUUAGUACCCGGAGGAAGAGAAAGAAAAAUCGAUUCCCUGAGUAGCGGCGAGCGAAACGGGAAGAGCCCAAACCAACAAGCUUGCUUGUUGGGGUUGUAGGACACUCUAUACGGAGUUACAAAAGAACAUGUUAGACGAAUCAUCUGGAAAGAUGAAUCAAAGAAGGUAAUAAUCCUGUAGUCGAAAACAUAUUCUCUCUUGAGUGGAUCCUGAGUACGACGGAGCACGUGAAAUUCCGUCGGAAUCUGGGAGGACCAUCUCCUAAGGCUAAAUACUCUCUAGUGACCGAUAGUGAACCAGUACCGUGAGGGAAAGGUGAAAAGUACCCCGGAAGGGGAGUGAAAGAGAACUUGAAACCGUGUGCUUACAAGUAGUCAGAGCCCGUUAAUGGGUGAUGGCGUGCCUUUUGUAGAAUGAACCGGCGAGUUACGAUCUGAUGCAAGGUUAAGCAGCAAAUGUGGAGCCGCAGCGAAAGCGAGUCUGAAUAGGGCGUUGAGUAUUUGGUCGUAGACCCGAAACCAGGUGAUCUACCCUUGGUCAGGUUGAAGUUCAGGUAACACUGAAUGGAGGACCGAACCGACUUACGUUGAAAAGUGAGCGGAUGAACUGAGGGUAGCGGAGAAAUUCCAAUCGAACUUGGAGAUAGCUGGUUCUCUCCGAAAUAGCUUUAGGGCUAGCCUCAAGUGAUGAUUAUUGGAGGUAGAGCACUGUUUGGACGAGGGGCCCCUCUCGGGUUACCGAAUUCAGACAAACUCCGAAUGCCAAUUAAUUUAACUUGGGAGUCAGAACAUGGGUGAUAAGGUCCGUGUUCGAAAGGGAAACAGCCCAGACCACCAGCUAAGGUCCCAAAAUAUAUGUUAAGUGGAAAAGGAUGUGGCGUUGCCCAGACAACUAGGAUGUUGGCUUAGAAGCAGCCAUCAUUUAAAGAGUGCGUAAUAGCUCACUAGUCGAGUGACACUGCGCCGAAAAUGUACCGGGGCUAAACAUAUUACCGAAGCUGUGGAUUGUCCUUUGGACAAUGGUAGGAGAGCGUUCUAAGGGCGUCGAAGCAUGAUCGCAAGGACAUGUGGAGCGCUUAGAAGUGAGAAUGCCGGUGUGAGUAGCGAAAGACGGGUGAGAAUCCCGUCCACCGAUUGACUAAGGUUUCCAGAGGAAGGCUCGUCCGCUCUGGGUUAGUCGGGUCCUAAGCUGAGGCCGACAGGCGUAGGCGAUGGAUAACAGGUUGAUAUUCCUGUACCACCUAGUAUCGUUUUAAUCGAUGGGGGGACGCAGUAGGAUAGGCGAAGCGUGCUGUUGGAGUGCACGUCCAAGCAGUAAGGCUGAGUGUUAGGCAAAUCCGGCACUCAUAAGGCUGAGCUGUGAUGGGGAGAGGAAAUUGUUUCCUCGAGUCGUUGAUUUCACACUGCCGAGAAAAGCCUCUAGAUAGAUAACAGGUGCCCGUACCGCAAACCGACACAGGUAGUCAAGAUGAGAAUUCUAAGGUGAGCGAGCGAACUCUCGUUAAGGAACUCGGCAAAAUGACCCCGUAACUUCGGGAGAAGGGGUGCUCUUUAGGGUUCACGCCCAGAAGAGCCGCAGUGAAUAGGCCCAAGCGACUGUUUAUCAAAAACACAGGUCUCUGCUAAACCGUAAGGUGAUGUAUAGGGGCUGACGCCUGCCCGGUGCUGGAAGGUUAAGAGGAGUGGUUAGCUUCUGCGAAGCUACGAAUCGAAGCCCCAGUAAACGGCGGCCGUAACUAUAACGGUCCUAAGGUAGCGAAAUUCCUUGUCGGGUAAGUUCCGACCCGCACGAAAGGCGUAACGAUUUGGGCACUGUCUCAAC